GGAGAGGUCGCAUAGUGGCCUAGUGCAGCGGUUUACUAAACCGCCGUGGUGUCAAAACCACCGAGGGUUCGAAUCCCUCCCUCUCCGCCA
RNAcentral lists this transfer RNA (90 nucleotides) under Candidatus Roizmanbacteria bacterium. Its description in RNAcentral is "tRNA-Ser". It matches the Rfam family "tRNA". Rfam says of the family: Transfer RNA (tRNA) molecules are approximately 80 nucleotides in length. Lineage: Bacteria; Candidatus Roizmaniibacteriota. The record is from RNAcentral.